Molecule: ribosomal RNA, 433 nt
Filed under: uncultured bacterium
Lineage: Bacteria
Description: partial 16S ribosomal RNA
Rfam family: Bacterial small subunit ribosomal RNA
Source: RNAcentral
AACGAACGCUGGCGGCAUGCCUAACACAUGCAAGUCGAACGAGACCUUCGGGUCUAGUGGCGCACGGGUGCGUAACGCGUGGGAACCUGCCCUUAGGUUCGGAAUAACUCCCCGAAAGGGGUGCUAAUACCGGAUAAUGUCUUCGGACCAAAGAUUUAUCGCCUUUGGAUGGGCCCGCGUUGGAUUAGCUAGUUGGUAGGGUAAAAGCCUACCAAGGCGACGAUCCAUAGCUGGUCUGAGAGGAUGAUCAGCCACACUGAGACUGAGACACGGCCCAGACUCCUACGGGAGGCAGCAGUGGGGAAUAUUGGACAAUGGGCGAAAGCCUGAACCAGCAAUGCCGCGUGAGUGAUGAAGGCCUUAGGGUUGUAAAGCUCUUUUACCCGGGAUGAUAAUGACAGUACCGGGAGAAUAAGCUCCGGCUAACUCCGUG